CAUCUAAGUGUGAAACUCGCCUUGAGAUGAGAUUUCCCAUUUCCUUCGGGAAAGUAAGACCCCUCAGAGAUGAUGAGGUAGAUAGGAUGGAAGUGGAAGUGCCGUGAGGCAUGGAGCGGACCAUUACUAAUCGGUCGAGGACUUAACCAAG
RNAcentral lists this ribosomal RNA (151 nucleotides) under Limosilactobacillus reuteri. RNAcentral describes it as "Lactobacillus reuteri partial 23S ribosomal RNA". It matches the Rfam family "Bacterial large subunit ribosomal RNA", at positions 2778 to 2925 of the family's 2925-position model. The record is from RNAcentral. Lineage: Bacteria; Bacillati; Bacillota; Bacilli; Lactobacillales; Lactobacillaceae.